AGAGUUUGAUCAUGGCUCAGGAUGAACGCUGGCGGCGUGCCUAACACAUGCAAGUCGAACGAAGCGUCGCGGAACGAUUUUUCGGAAGAGGGAAGGGACGGCUUAGUGGCGGACGGGUGAGUAACGCGUGGGCAACCUGCCCUGCACAGGGGGACAACAGCUGGAAACGGCUGCUAAUACCGCAUAAGCGCACGGUACCGCGUGGUACAGUGUGAAAAACUCCGGUGGUGCAGGAUGGGCCCGCGUUGGAUUAGGUAGUUGGCGGGGCAACGGCCCACCAAGCCGACGAUCCAUAGCCGACCUGAGAGGGUGACCGGCCACAUUGGGACUGAGACACGGCCCAAACUCCUGCGGGAGGCAGCAGUGGGGAAUAUUGCACAAUGGGCGCAAGCCUGAUGCAGCGACGCCGCGUGAGCGAAGAAGUAUUUCGGUAUGUAAAGCUCUAUCAGCAGGGAAGAAAAUGACGGUACCUGACUAAGAAGCUCCGGCUAAAUACGUGCCAGCAGCCGCGGUAAUACGUAUGGAGCAAGCGUUAUCCGGAUUUACUGGGUGUAAAGGGAGCGUAGACGGGACGGCAAGUCUGAUGUGAAAGGCCGGGGCUCAACCCCGGGACUGCAUUGGAAACUGCGGUUCUUGAGUGCCGGAGAGGUAAGCGGAAUUCCUAGUGUAGCGGUGAAAUGCGUAGAUAUUAGGAGGAACACCAGUGGCGAAGGCGGCUUACUGGACGGUAACUGACGUUGAGGCUCGAAAGCGUGGGGAGCAAACAGGAUUAGAUACCCUGGUAGUCCACGCCGUAAACG
This 800-nucleotide ribosomal RNA is filed under the name uncultured bacterium. RNAcentral's name for it is "bacterial SSU rRNA". It matches the Rfam family "Bacterial small subunit ribosomal RNA", at positions 8 to 808 of the family's 1533-position model. The record is from RNAcentral.